Hippocampus zosterae (dwarf seahorse) is the source of this 2465-nucleotide long non-coding RNA. RefSeq lists it as uncharacterized. The transcript is spliced from 8 exons. The record is from RefSeq and is a predicted model, not a curated record. Lineage: Eukaryota; Metazoa; Chordata; Actinopteri; Syngnathiformes; Syngnathidae.
UUGUAUUAUUUGUCUCUUUUCCAUGAGACUAGAAAAUGCAUGCUGAUUAACUCAUACUUUGUUUUAUUAAUGGAGGUUUUAGUUCCAUCUGGUCUACUUUCCAUCCUGUGAAAAUGUGUGACGACAAAACAUUGUCGUAUUUUCAUGAAUGCAAGUUGGAAGACAAGUGUUGAAAACAUUGGCAAAGACAGAUAAACUUUGUACAGAAUUGCCGAGAUCUAGCAUAAAACUCUUUUUCACCAUCUCAGUUGUCUACAAAAUUAACAAUUUUCCCUGUUUUUCCCUCUUCUGCCCUGAUGUGUAGGCUCAAAUGCGUAAAGCCCAACCAUCAGGGCAACAUACACCUCUUCUCAAAGAGAGGCCUGGUGCUGAGACUCAUUCCGGAGCCUUCUCCACAAGGUCAACACCAUCAUCAUCAUCAGAGGAGUCUGUGUCAUCCGCCCAAAGUGGAGAUGACCACAAACCAGCAUUCAGUGAAGGGAGGGGGUCCCGGUCGUCCAACAGCAGUGGAUCAGAAAAGGACCACAUUGAUUUGCAUGAAGCUAAGGCCCUCAAGGCAAAAUGUAAAUCAAAACAAAAAGGUAUGAAAUCGAAAGGAACAGAGAAGUUAAAUGAUGGCCAAAAAAGGAACUACCACCAAUCUUCGUGGAUGUGACACGUGCCUCAGAAAAUACGCACAAGAGAGCAAGGCCAAAAACCCAGAACUGUUGAGGUCAACAAAAUUAAGGAAGCAUGUUGCUACCUUAUGUCAGCUUCUCGACCUGAACAAUCAGGAACUCGAGCAAGUUGCUCGUUUUAUGGGACACAACAUUAGAGUCCAUUGUGAGUUUUAUCGGCAGACCGAUAAAACUUUCCAAGUGGCCAAGAUUGCCAAACUACUGUUUGCGAUGGAACGUGGGACAGAGUCGCUGAAGGGAAAGAGUCUGCAAACCCUGGACUCUGUUAUCACUGGAAGAGCACAUGCAGCCACCUCAACCAAAGGUCUGAAAAGUGGCAAAAAGAGAAGACCAGAUCCAGGGAGACGACAGGAAGCUCAAGAUGAAUGAGAAGUGCCACAUUCAGCUGUAGCAACGAGAUCUGAUGAUGAAGAUGAUGGAGGCGGUAACAGUACCAACUUGGACACUGAAAACACAGGCACCUACAAAAGGCCACCGAAGAUGCAGUCAAUUAAAGAAAGAAAUUAUGCUGAUGACGCUGAUGACGACAUGAGUGAUGUUUCUGGCAGUGAAUAUGGCGAUGGAGGGGUGUGCCAUAAGACAGUUAAGAAGACUGUCAAGAAAAAAAAGACAAUGUUGGGAAGACAUGGAUUGGUCUAUGACGCAUCUUUCACACAUGGCCAAGAACAACCAUCAACAUCAGGGAGCGCCACCAAACGAAAGAGGAUUGCAACACUUACACAUGACGACGAUGAUGUUGAAGACAGCGAUGAAGAGGACAAAAAGACUGGACACAGAUCUCUUGGGAAGAAGAAGACAGCAGUUCGAAAAGAACAUAGUGAAGUUGAAUUGGAAACUAAAAAAAGGAAGAGACCCGGACUCCAAAGGAAAGAGCAGCAAUUGAUCGACACCUUUCAAAAUUUGUAGCAUUAAAGAAAGUUCCAAGGAAAGAUGACUGCGUUAAGUGUCGUAGUCAAGCAUCGCCAGACCUUGAAGACCGCACAUGGAGAGAUAUUCCACAAUGAAAUUAUUAAAAGAUAUGUAAUUGGGAAAAAAGCUUGAAGAUGAAAGAUAGAGAGAGGGAGAGACAUAGGGGGGAGAUAGAUGAAGGGAGAGAGGGAAUGGGAUGAGAGAGGGGAGAAAAGGAAUAGAGUUUGAAAGCACAGUUAUUUGGUAGGGUAUAUGUGGGUUCAUGUGUCAGGUUGUGGCGCAGCAAGUUUUUUUAGUGUGCGUUUUGAAGGUUGAAGUUUUUCAGGUGUUCGUGUAAGUUUUGAAUAAGAGUACUUUUGUUUGUCAAAAAUAAAUCAUAAAGUCAAGUCAGCUUUUAUUGUCAAAUAUGCUCUCUGUGUAAUGUACAGCACAGAUUAAAAUACUUUCCUCUCUCAGCCACAGUGCAAACGUGGCGUAUUGAACACACAAAUAUCAGAACUAAAUAAAACUAAAUAAAUGACAGUACCCUGUUAAUGGUGAUAAACUGUUUAAAAAUAAUAUACCUGAUUAUAAAUUUACAUCAUUAAAUGUUUAGUAAGGUGAAUGGCACCUAAUCUACUUCAAAAUCAUUAAGAACGCAUGGCCAGUGCCCGGUCCUCACUUAUCUAGUUAAAAACUUUUUCUUAACCUUUGGUGUUUUAUUUAAUCUAAAGGAAUGUAUUGCCUAAGGGCGCCCUCCUGUGUCUAGAAAUGUGUCUUUUUCAUUUCUUUUUCAAGCAGAAAGGGUGGUCCUCGCUUUGUAGGCCUUUUUACUCGGUCCUCACUGUGCAGCAAGUGCAGGAAUGUGUGUGUGUGUGUGUGUGUGUGUGUGUGUGUGUG